Long non-coding RNA from Lytechinus variegatus (green sea urchin), 1099 nucleotides. RefSeq lists it as uncharacterized. NCBI's taxonomy places the organism in Eukaryota, Metazoa, Echinodermata, Echinoidea, Temnopleuroida, Toxopneustidae. The transcript is spliced from 4 exons. The record is from RefSeq and is a predicted model, not a curated record.
AUGUAAAUACGCUCAGCGAAUUUUGCGUCAGAAGCCCGUCUGAAUUAUUCUGGAAAAUGGCUGGUAUUCAAAGACUGGUGACUGUUGAGCGACUGAGAUCGAAAGCUAAUGUCCGUGGUUUGAUAUGUACUUGGAAUCCAGAGCAUCAAUUGUACUCAUCUUUAAUCCAUAUUUCUCCUACACGUUCGAUGAUCGACCGGAGUAUAAUGAUCAGAUGGCAUACUCCAGGAUGACGGGCAAGGUUGGUACCACGUGUGAGUCCUGUAAAACAGCCGCCUUCUAGCACGGCAGGAAGGAAACCCUUCGAUCUGCCAUGAAGGAAACCUUCAGGUGCUCCUAGGCAUUCCAGAUGGAUUCCUCAGCGGGCCUGGAGGAGAAGAGGAGACUACUACAGGAGUGUUCGGAGAACAUAACGUCCUCACCAAGGAAGCUGCAAUGGGACAAGGAUGGGAUAGACACUCCUUCGCUCUGCAAACGCUCGCUGCAAAAGAAGGCAAGACCCUGGCCAUCUUUGCUGAUCCAGCCAACAGCUUCAUCAACCAUGUCAUCCUCUCCACCAGCACUCUAAGUGCACCCGGCUAUCCUGAUUAGGGAGUUUAGACCCAUCGUUCCCAACAGUCUCUGGGACCGGUUACAACGCUUCCGACGGUUCCGUUGGAUGCCACGUCACAUCAUAUCUCGAUUCUUUGAACGGGAGCAACUUUGUGUCGUGCGUGGGCUGACUGUUGGAAAGACAUUCAUGAUGUCUUGAGUAAUACAAAUAAGCAAUAAAGAUAGUUGUACAUACACGUAGCAGUGCUUCCCAGAAUAAACAAAAUUACUACCGUAUUUUCCGGUGUAUAAACCGCGCCUUUUUUCCCGCUUUAUAUUCUUGAAAUACUGGGUGCAGUUUAUACACAGAAACAACAAAAUUCCGUUGGAAUAUUGACUGUUUAGUCGGUAUUACAACUUGCUAGUGAACCAACAAUUAUAUAGAAUAUUUAAUGUAUAAUUAUUUGUUGGUUACUAAAAAUAGGGAGCAUAUUUUGCGAAGUUUUCUUUGAAAAAUCUUCUUUGUAAAGAUUGGUUUUUAUUAUUUAUCUAACUACUAUCAUUUUAA